UCUUAAGAAAAAAGGUUCUUCAAAGGUUCUGAAACGAUGGUAAAGGUUCUAUAUAGAACCAUAGCUUACUGAAGAACCAUUUUUUGCUGAAAUGGUUCUUUGUCUUGGCAAAAGGGUUCUUUAUUUCCCUCCUUUUUUGAUUUUAAAUUUAGUCAGUUAUUUUCAAGCUGCCUCUUGAUUAUUUUCACCUGUAAAAGCCCUGAAUCAUCAGUCCUGCUGAACCGCCAGCAGAUUAACAUCACAAGCAGGUAAGAGAGUAAAAUAAUCAUCAUUUACUGUUAAAAACAUUUUGAAAAUUGAAGUUUUGUGUGUUCUUAUUGUAAUUUAUUUAUUUUAUAACAGGUAAACGUUAUACUGUAAGCUUCAUUCACUUUAAAGCAGAGUUUUUGUAUGUGAGGUAAUCUUACUGGGAAUGAAGGCAGUGCGUAUGACCACUUGAUAUAGACACAUUCUAUUUUUAAAGGUCAACAUACUGUAAGCUUCAUUCCCUUUAAAGCAGAGUUUUCAUAUGCGAGGUAAUCUUGCUUAUGCUGGGAGUGAAGGCAGUGCGUAUGACCGCUUGAUAUGAAAGACACAUCCUGUUUUUAAAGGUGGAUCAUGAGUGAAGCUCUGGAGGUCUGCCAUUGGCUUGAUAACAGUGGUUUAUGUGAAUUGAGUGAAUUCAAUUUAUAAAUAAAUCUUUCACCAAGCAUUCACCUAUUUACUGACAAAACAGAUCCAAAUCUUGUUCAGCCUGAUGCUCAACCUUGUAUGAUGAUGACAACAGCCAGGUGAUGGAGAUCUGUGUUAAUCACACCCUGCGUCUCAAGAUCAACAUGACAAUAGCAGACCAUUUCUUAUCUUACUCUUAUCUGACUAAAUGUUCAGCAUCAUUGCAACAAAACAAAGAACAUUGGAUGGAGUAUUGGAUGAUCCCGUAAAGAAAAUAAUAUGGACUUUUUUGGUGAGAUUCUACAAAGAUUGACACAAUCCUAUUGACUUUUAUUUUUACAGUUAAUAAUGCAUUAUAAACAUCCCAUUCAUUUGUAUUCUAUGUCAUCGAUCUGUUUGUGCUAAAGUGUUUACAUCUGAAUGUAAUGUCAAUAAUAUGUUAAUAUUCAGGAUUUAUUAUCAUUUGCAUGUUUUGAUGUUAUGAUUUUAUUGAUUUCAUGUAAUUGUUGUCUAUUUAAAAUGAUUUUAAUUGCCAAAUUUUAUUGUUAAUUUAUUUAAUAUUGAAGCUGUUAUUUAACAUCCAUAUCUUAUUUGAGUAGUGAUUUGUUAUAUUUGCAUAAUAAUUAAUAUAUUUAUUCUGAUUGUGAUUUUAAUGCACAUAUUUAUUAUUGUAUGACACCUCAUGUAAUGAAAAAGUGAAAAUAAAAGUAUGUUCUGAUGUCUUGCAAUUCUGUUUUUAAACUUUUAAACCUUAUAAAGUGCUAUAAAUAAGAAAAAACAAAUAAAAAAAUAAUCCUCCUGACUGCUGAUAAAUGAAAGGGUUCUUUAUAGCACCACUGAGGUUCUAUUUAGCACUUUUUCAAGGCAAGGUUCUAUAUAGAACCAUCUAAAAAAGGGUUCUAUAUAGUACCAGAAAGGGUGCUGCUAUUGUUACAAGCUGAAGAACCCUUAUUUGGUACUAUAUAGAACCAUUUUUCUUAAG
Non-coding RNA from Misgurnus anguillicaudatus (oriental weatherfish), 1633 nucleotides. The record is from RefSeq and is a predicted model, not a curated record. NCBI's taxonomy places the organism in Eukaryota, Metazoa, Chordata, Actinopteri, Cypriniformes, Cobitidae.